RNAcentral lists this non-coding RNA (29 nucleotides) under Rattus norvegicus (Norway rat). Lineage: Eukaryota; Metazoa; Chordata; Mammalia; Rodentia; Muridae. The record is from RNAcentral.
UUAAAUACGAAAGAAUCAAACACAACAUU